GACGAACGCUGGCGGCGUGCUUAACACAUGCAAGUCGAACGGAAAGGCCCUGCUUUUGUGGGGUGCUCGAGUGGCGAACGGGUGAGUAACACGUGAGUAACCUGCCCUUGACUUUGGGAUAACUUCAGGAAACUGGGGCUAAUACCGGAUAGGAGCUCCUGCUGCAUGGUGGGGGUUGGAAAGUUUCGGCGGUUGGGGAUGGACUCGCGGCUUAUCAGCUUGUUGGUGGGGUAGUGGCUUACCAAGGCUUUGACGGGUAGCCGGCCUGAGAGGGUGACCGGCCACAUUGGGACUGAGAUACUGCCCAGACUCCUACGGGAGGCAGCAGUGGGGAAUAUUGCACAAUGGGCGGAAGCCUGAUGCAGCAACGCCGCGUGCGGGAUGACGGCCUUCGGGUUGUAAACCGCUUUCGCCUGUGACGAAGCGUGAGUGACGGGAAUGGGUAAAGAAGCACCGGCUAACUACGU
This 467-nucleotide ribosomal RNA is filed under the name uncultured bacterium. Its description in RNAcentral is "partial 16S ribosomal RNA". It matches the Rfam family "Bacterial small subunit ribosomal RNA", at positions 28 to 506 of the family's 1533-position model. The record is from RNAcentral.